UUUCGUCUCCUAAGAACGACUUAAGCGACGAAAUUUCAUUCCGUCGCUUAAGUACUAUUUAGGAGAUGGAAUAUUUUUACUUAGACGACGGCAUUUUGAAAAAAUAAAAUUAAAAAAUUUAUAUGAAUCACUUAGGAGACGGAACUACAUUCUGUAGCCUAAGUAGAACUUAGGAGACGGAAAUGUUUACUUAGGAGACGGAAUGUUUUUUUUUUUUAAAAACAAUUUAUGAAUCACUUAGACGACGGAAAUAGAACAUUCUGUCGCUUAAGUUCUAAAAAUUUGAGCGCCCAUCUUCCUGUGUAAAAUUUCAUGAAAAUUGAAACCAAAAUUUUUCAAAACAUAUCAAUUCUUUUAAAUCACACACACUCACCAACCUUAUCAAUAGAAGGAAACCCAUCUUUUCCUAGAGCUUCAUCUCUCUCUCUCUCU
RNAcentral lists this long non-coding RNA (432 nucleotides) under Fragaria vesca (wild strawberry). Its description in RNAcentral is "long non-coding RNA (FVES_LNC004143)". The record is from RNAcentral. Lineage: Eukaryota; Viridiplantae; Streptophyta; Magnoliopsida; Rosales; Rosaceae.